UCCCGGGUGGCUCAGUUGGUUAUAGCGUCUGACUGUUAUGUGCAAUCAGAAGAUCGGCAGUUCGAAUCUGCCUCUGGGAG
Transfer RNA from Exidia glandulosa HHB12029, 80 nucleotides. It matches the Rfam family "tRNA". Rfam says of the family: Transfer RNA (tRNA) molecules are approximately 80 nucleotides in length. Their secondary structure includes four short double-helical elements and three loops (D, anti-codon, and T loops). NCBI's taxonomy places the organism in Eukaryota, Fungi, Basidiomycota, Agaricomycetes, Auriculariales, Exidiaceae. The record is from Rfam.